Molecule: ribosomal RNA, 405 nt
Filed under: Parascardovia denticolens
Lineage: Bacteria; Bacillati; Actinomycetota; Actinomycetes; Bifidobacteriales; Bifidobacteriaceae
Description: bacterial SSU rRNA
Rfam family: Bacterial small subunit ribosomal RNA
Source: RNAcentral
GACGAACCCUGGCGGCGUGCUUAACACAUGCAAGUCGAACGGGAUCCUCUCCAUGCUUGCUGGGGGGGUGAGAGUGGCGAACGGGUGAGUAAUGCGUGACUAACCUGCCUCAUGGUCUGGAAUAGCUCCUGGAAACGGGUGGUAAUGCCGGAUGGUCCAACUUUCCGCAUGGUUUGUUGGGAAAGCUUUUGCGCCAUGGGAUGGGGUCGCGUCCUAUCAGCUUGUUGGUGGGGUGUUGGCCUACCAAGGCUUCGACGGGUAGCCGGCCUAAGAGGGCGACCGGCCACAUUGGGACUGAGAUACGGCCCAGACUCCUACGGGAGGCAGCAGUGGGGAAUAUUGCACAAUGGGGGGAACCCUGAUGCAGCGACGCCGCGUGCGGGAUGGAGGCCUUCGGGUCGUGAA